Molecule: ribosomal RNA, 550 nt
Filed under: uncultured bacterium
Lineage: Bacteria
Description: bacterial SSU rRNA
Rfam family: Bacterial small subunit ribosomal RNA
Source: RNAcentral
UAGGGAAUCUUCGGCAAUGGGGGCAACCCUGACCGAGCAACGCCGCGUGAGUGAAGAAGGUUUUCGGAUCGUAAAGCUCUGUUGUUAAGGAAGAACGUGUGUGAGAGUGGAAAGUUCACACAGUGACGGUACUUAACCAGAAAGGGACGGCUAACUACGUGCCAGCAGCCGCGGUAAUACGUAGGUCCCGAGCGUUGUCCGGAUUUAUUGGGCGUAAAGCGAGCGCAGGCGGUUAGAUAAGUCUGAAGUGAAAGGCAGUGGCUCAACCAUUGUAGGCUUUGGAAACUGUUUAACUUGAGUGCAGAAGGGGAGAGUGGAAUUCCAUGUGUAGCGGUGAAAUGCGUAGAUAUAUGGAGGAACACCGGUGGCGAAAGCGGCUCUCUGGUCUGUAACUGACGCUGAGGCUCGAAAGCGUGGGGAGCGAACAGGAUUAGAUACCCUGGUAGUCCACGCCGUAAACGAUGAGUGCUAGGUGUUAGGUCCUUUCCGGGACUUAGUGCCGCAGCUAACGCAUUAAGCACUCCGCCUGGGGAGUACGACCGCAAGGUUG